RNAcentral lists this ribosomal RNA (253 nucleotides) under uncultured bacterium. RNAcentral describes it as "partial 16S ribosomal RNA". It matches the Rfam family "Bacterial small subunit ribosomal RNA", at positions 524 to 776 of the family's 1533-position model. The record is from RNAcentral.
GACGUAGGGCGCGAGCGUUGUCCGGAUUUAUUGGGCGUAAAGAGCUCGUAGGCGGCUUGUCGCGUAGUCCGUGAAAACCUGCGGCUCAACUGCAGGCUGGCGGUCGAUACGGGCAGGCUGGAGUUCGGUAGGGGAGACUGGAAUUCCUGGUGUAGCGGUGAAAUGCGCAGAUAUCAGGAAGAACACCCGUGGCUAAGGCGGCUCUCUAGUACGGUACUGACGCUGAGACGCGAAAGCGUGGGGAGCGAACAGG